RNAcentral lists this ribosomal RNA (250 nucleotides) under uncultured prokaryote. Its description in RNAcentral is "partial 16S ribosomal RNA". It matches the Rfam family "Bacterial small subunit ribosomal RNA", at positions 524 to 773 of the family's 1533-position model. The record is from RNAcentral.
UACGGAAGGUCCGGGCGUUAUCCGGAUUUAUUGGGUUUAAAGGGAGCGCAGGCGGGAUAUUAAGCGUGACGUGAAAUGUAGAUGCUCAACAUCUGAACUGCGUCGCGAACUGGUUUCCUUGAGUGCAUUCGACGUCAGCGGAAUUUGUGGUGUAGCGGUGAAAUGCUUAGAUAUCACGAAGAACUCCGAUUGCGAAGGCAGCUGACGAGACUGUAACUGACGCUAAAGCUCGAAAGUGCGGGUAUCGAAC